Molecule: ribosomal RNA, 429 nt
Filed under: Actinomycetes bacterium
Lineage: Bacteria; Bacillati; Actinomycetota; Actinomycetes
Description: Actinobacteria bacterium partial 16S ribosomal RNA
Rfam family: Bacterial small subunit ribosomal RNA
Source: RNAcentral
UAGGGAAUCUUCCGCAAUGGGCGAAAGCUUGACGGAGCAACGCCGCGUGAGUGAUGAAGGUCUUCGGAUCGUAAAACUCUGUUAUUAGGGAAGAACAAAUGUGUAAGUAACUAUGCACGUCUUGACGGUACCUAAUCAGAAAACCACGGCUAACUACGUGCCAGCAGCCGCGGUAAUACGUAGGUGGCAAGCGUUAUCCGGAAUUAUUGGGCGUAAAGCGCGCGUAGGCGGUUUUUUAAGUCUGAUGUGAAAGCCCACGGCUCAACCGUGGAGGGUCAUUGGAAACUGGAAAACUUGAGUGCAGAAGAGGAAAGUGGAAUUCCAUGUGUAGCGGUGAAAUGCGCAGAGAUAUGGAGGAACACCAGUGGCGAAGGCGACUUUCUGGUCUGUAACUGACGCUGAUGUGCGAAAGCGUGGGGAUCAAACAGG